RNAcentral lists this long non-coding RNA (264 nucleotides) under Gossypium barbadense (sea-island cotton). Its description in RNAcentral is "long non-coding RNA (GBAR_LNC016437)". The record is from RNAcentral. Lineage: Eukaryota; Viridiplantae; Streptophyta; Magnoliopsida; Malvales; Malvaceae.
AAAAGUUGAGUUCUACAUGUUAGAGGUGUCCAAUUGUUAUGAAACUUUAAAUUGGAGGUCCUUAUAUGGUAAUUAUACCAUUGGUAACUUGGUAGACAAAAAUGGACAUGAGAUAAGUGAAAUAGAAAAUUUUUAAGUUAGAGGCAAUUUGGUAAUCUAGUAAUUAAAAUGAAUUAAAAGGGAAAAAGAUGGCAAAAAUCAUCAUCUUCUUCAUAUGAACGAAAUCAGCAAGGGGGGAAGCCAUAGUUAGGGUUUUCAAGCUUC